This 251-nucleotide ribosomal RNA is filed under the name uncultured prokaryote. RNAcentral's name for it is "partial 16S rRNA". It matches the Rfam family "Bacterial small subunit ribosomal RNA", at positions 525 to 775 of the family's 1533-position model. The record is from RNAcentral.
ACGGAGGGCGCAAGCGUUAAUCGGAAUUACUGGGCGUAAAGCGUGCGUAGGCUGUUUGGUAAGUCAGACGUGAAAUCCCUCGGCUCAACCGUGGAACUGCGCUGGAAACUGCCGAACUCGAGUGCCGGAGAGGGUGGUGGAAUUCCAGGUGUAGGAGUGAAAUCCGUAGAUAUCUGGAGGAAUACCGGUGGCGAAGGCGGCCAACUGGACGGGUACUGACGCUGAGGCACGAAAGCGUGGGGAGCAAACAG